RNAcentral lists this long non-coding RNA (1462 nucleotides) under Homo sapiens (human). Its description in RNAcentral is "HSALNT0352381". The record is from RNAcentral. Lineage: Eukaryota; Metazoa; Chordata; Mammalia; Primates; Hominidae.
CAGCCAAAUCCCUGCCUUACUGACCUCUCCCCUGGAGGAGCAGGAGCAGCGCUCAAGGCCGCCUUGGGAGGGCUGAGAGGCAGGCUCUGGACUGGGGACACAGGGAUAGCUGAGCCCCAGCUGGGGGUGGAAGCUGAGCCAGAGACAGUCACAGAGGAACAAGAUCAAGAUGCGCUUUAACUGAGAAGCCCCCAAGGCAGAGGCUGAGAAUCAGAAGACAUUUCAGCAGAAACAUACAUAUGAUAGUUGAGAAAGACACAUAUUCUGAUCAUGAAGAAAUAAACACAAGUUAAAUAUGACUAAGCAGAAAGAUGGAAGGACCAGGAACGGUGAUGCUAACUUGGAACCACGAUGCAGGCUCUAAUCUCCUCUACAAUCAUCCUCCCUUGUGAGAAAAAUACAUAAGAUCUAAGGCACAUGAGAUGAUACGCUUUCUGUUUGAGUUUCUCCUUUAUGUUACGCAUACUGAUAAAAUUGUUGACGCCAGUUGAUCUGAAGGUCCCAGCAAGGAGCCGACUCACAGAAGAAUGCAGUUUUCACAUUGUGAUGAUUUAAUCUUCCUUGACCUGAGCAAUUGACAACCCCAAUUCUCCAGAACCUCACCCGCCACAAUCCCCUUAAAAACCCUGGUCCAGAACCCCUCAAGCAGACAGAUUUGAAGCUUGAGGAUUCCUUCAUCUCUUUGCCCAAUGGCAUUGUGAUUAUUAAACUCUUUUUCUGCUGGAAAUUAUGAUGUCUCAGUGUAUUGGUCUAUUGCUGCUCAGUGGGCAUAUGAAUCUGGCAGUCCUGUAACAGGGACAAAAGAUAAACUACUGGCAAAACACUCGUAAAAGUCAUAACCUAAGACAUAGGCCCACUGAAAGGCGGAUAUUCAAUCAGAGCACUAUAGAACAUAUUUCUCUGCUCAUACCAUAAAAUUUAAACCAACAUGACUCCAAUAUAAGGAGACAGACAAAAGAGCUAUAAGAAACAGACACUGUUUGAAGAUGAGUACUUAAGGAAACCUAAAGUUAAGGGAGGAGACAAAAACAAGGACACUAGAGGAAUUUGAAACCUUCAGAAACUUGAGCUAUAACAAAUAUUAAAUGCAGUUCAACUCCAAGACAGAUUAACAUAUAUCCUCAAUUAACUUUAUCUCAGUAUCAAUUUAUCUCAGCAUCAAUUUAUCUCAAUAUCUAUUAUGGAUACCACAUGUCUGGCGCUCAAUAAUGGCAACAAAAUUACAAAACAUGGUAAAAGGCAAGAAAAAAAUUAACAAUCUGAAGAGACAGGAUGAUCAUCAGAACAAGACUCAGUGAUGAUGAUGCAUAUUUUGGAAAUAGCAAUCAAGAAAUUUACAUAACUAUGAUUAAGAUGUUAAGGACACUAGUGGAAAAUGUAGAAAAUAUUCAAUAAAAGAUGAUUAGUAUAAGCAGAGAGAUGAAAAUUCUAACAAAGAACCAAAAUAAAAGGCUAGAAAUUA